ACGAACGCUGGCGGCGUGCCUAAUACAUGCAAGUCGAACGGUCUUUCUAUGGAAGCUUGCUUCCACUGAGAAGAUAGUGGCGAACGGGUGAGUAACACGUGGGUAACCUGCCCAUAAGAGGGGGGAUAACAUCCGGAAACGGGUGCUAAUACCGCAUAGUUUUCUUGAUCGCAUGACUGAGAAAGGAAAGACGGCCUUUGUGCUGUCGCUUAUGGAUGGACUCGCGGCGUAUUAGUUAGUUGGUGAGGUAACGGCUCACCAAGACGAUGAUACGUAGCCGACCUGAGAGGGUGAUCGGCCACAUUGGGACUGAGACACGGCCCAAACUCCUACGGGAGGCAGCAGUAGGGAAUCUUCCGCAAUGGACGAAAGUCUGACGGAGCAACGCCGCGUGAGUGAAAGAAGGUUUUCGGAUCGUAAAACUCUGUUGUCAGAGAAGAACAAGUUGGAGAGUAACUGCUCCAGCCUUGACGGUAUCUGACCAGAAAGCCACGGCUAACUACGUGCCAGCCGCCGC
This 517-nucleotide ribosomal RNA is filed under the name uncultured bacterium. RNAcentral's name for it is "bacterial SSU rRNA". It matches the Rfam family "Bacterial small subunit ribosomal RNA", at positions 29 to 518 of the family's 1533-position model. The record is from RNAcentral.